RNAcentral lists this ribosomal RNA (384 nucleotides) under Sarcocystis falcatula. Its description in RNAcentral is "SSU rRNA". It matches the Rfam family "Eukaryotic small subunit ribosomal RNA", at positions 1347 to 1754 of the family's 1831-position model. Lineage: Eukaryota; Apicomplexa; Conoidasida; Eucoccidiorida; Sarcocystidae. The record is from RNAcentral.
CCUGCUAAAUAGGGUCAAGAACUUUGUGUUCUUGUAUCACUUCUUAGAGGGACUUUGCGUGUCUAACGCAAGGAAGUUUGAGGCAAUAACAGGUCUGUGAUGCCCUUAGAUGUUCUGGGCUGCACGCGCGCUACACUGAUGCAUCCAACGAGUUUACAACCUUGGCCGACAGGUCUAGGUAAUCUUUUGAGUAUGCAUCGUGAUGGGGAUAGAUUAUUGCAAUUAUUAAUCUUCAACGAGGAAUGCCUAGUAGGCGCAAGUCAGCAGCUUGCGCCGAUUACGUCCCUGCCCUUUGUACACACCGCCCGUCGCUCCUACCGAUUGAGUGUUCCGGUGAAUUAUUCGGACUGUUCCGUGUCGCGUACCCGCGUCCGGAAUGGGAAG